CUAGACGAGCGUGGAGCAGGCGGAGGUGGCGGGGUCGAACAGCGCCGGGAGCAGGUACUUCCUCCCGUGCGCGCCGUGGGCGUUGUAGCUCGCUCCGGUGGCGCCGUCCACCAGCAGCUGGCCGGCGUACCCGGGGUACGCCCCCUUGCCGUACACCCCCGGGCACGCCGUCGCGGCCUCCAGCGGCGCCUCGCGCUCCCCCUGGUAGAACCCGUCGCCGAACGGGUUGGUCACCGCGCCGGCCACCAUGCUGGCCACGUUGAUGAUGAGCCCGUCCAUGCCCACGUCGCCGUUGGGCGCGGCCAGCGGCGGCGCCUGGGGCCCGUACGCCGGCUGGUGGAACGGCCACGCGCACUGCCCGGCGCACUGCGUCGCCGGGUUGCCGGCCCACACGUAGGCCGUGCCGGACUUGGCGUCCACGGUCCCGUGCCGGCCGCACCGGCUCAUGCAGAACCCCUCCACGCCCACGUCCUGCGCCGUGAGCACCAGCGCGAUGCCGCCCUUGGCGGGCCUCGCCUGCGCAGCCGUGAAGCGGCCGUACCAGAGAACGGAGACGGGGAUGUCGCCGUGCAGCACGGCGCCGUUGUGGUACGUGAGGAGGUUCGGCUGGGGCUGGACCAGGAACAUGAGCUUCCUCGUGCUCGUGGUAGCCGACGCGGAUGCCAUGUUAGCGGCGAGCGCCAUUAG
RNAcentral lists this ribosomal RNA (687 nucleotides) under Triticum aestivum (bread wheat). RNAcentral describes it as "partial small subunit ribosomal RNA". Lineage: Eukaryota; Viridiplantae; Streptophyta; Magnoliopsida; Poales; Poaceae. The record is from RNAcentral.